UGGGGAAUAUUGGACAAUGGGCGAAAGCCUGAUCCAGCCAUGCCGCGUGAGUGACGAAGGCCUUAGGGUUGUAAAGCUCUUUUGGCGGGGAAGAUAAUGACGGUACCCGCAGAAUAAGCUCCGGCUAACUUCGUGCCAGCAGCCGCGGUAAUACGAAGGGAGCUAGCGUUGUUCGGAAUCACUGGGCGUAAAGCGCACGUAGGCGGAUUUGUCAGUCAGGGGUGAAAUCCCGGGGCUCAACCUCGGAACUGCCCUUGAUACAGCAAGUCUUGAGUUCGAGAGAGGUGGGUGGAAUUCCUAGUGUAGAGGUGAAAUUCGUAGAUAUUAGGAAGAACACCGGUGGCGAAGGCGGCCCACUGGCUCGAUACUGACGCUGCGGUGCGAAAGCGUGGGAGCAAACAGGAUUAGAUACCCAUGUAGUCCCUGAGCGGGCUGGCAAGGCGCAU
Molecule: ribosomal RNA, 446 nt
Filed under: uncultured bacterium
Lineage: Bacteria
Description: bacterial SSU rRNA
Rfam family: Bacterial small subunit ribosomal RNA
Source: RNAcentral